UCUUCUGUAGCUCAGUGGUUGAGUGUCCGCCCCGUGUGCGGAAGGUCAUUGGUUCGACUCCUGUUGGGAGAA
Molecule: non-coding RNA, 72 nt
Organism: Desmophyllum pertusum
Lineage: Eukaryota; Metazoa; Cnidaria; Anthozoa; Scleractinia; Caryophylliidae
Source: the annotation of a GenBank genome assembly